RNAcentral lists this ribosomal RNA (465 nucleotides) under uncultured bacterium. RNAcentral's name for it is "partial 16S ribosomal RNA". It matches the Rfam family "Bacterial small subunit ribosomal RNA", at positions 28 to 507 of the family's 1533-position model. The record is from RNAcentral.
GACGAACGCUGGCGGCGUGCUUAACACAUGCAAGUCGAACGGAAAGGCCCUGCUUGCAGGGUACUCGAGUGGCGAACGGGUGAGUAACACGUGGGUGAUCUGCCCUGCACUUCGGGAUAAGCCUGGGAAACUGGGUCUAAUACCGGACAGGAGCCAUUUUUAGUGUGAUGGUUGGAAAGUUUUUUCGGUGUAGGAUGAGCUCGCGGCCUAUCAGCUUGUUGGUGGGGUAAUGGCCUACCAAGGCGGCGACGGGUAGCCGGCCUGAGAGGGUGGACGGCCACAUUGGGACUGAAGUACGGCCCAGACUCCUACGGGAGGCAGCAGUGGGGAAUAUUGCACAAUGGGCGCAAGCCUGAUGCAGCGACGCCGCGUGGGGGAUGACGGCCUUCGGGUUGUAAACUCCUUUCGCUAGGGACGAAGCUUUUUGUGACGGUACCUAGAUAAGAAGCACCGGCUAACUACGUG